GGGGAUGCAAGGCAUAGACAGUCGGCCUUUUGUCAUUGAUGCAUGCCGAGAAUGAACGCAAUCUCGUGAAACUUCGUUCAAUAGCUUAAUUGCAAAAUUAGCUUCCAAGGCGUUUGCGAAAAUCUCUCCAUACUUCGGUAUGAAUGACUUCGCUUACGCUUCAAUUUCGGCUUCGGCCUAAGUUGAUGUCUCUUUUAUUGACUUCCGAUAUAUAAGUAGAGGCAUAAUAUUAUCGGGAUAGGAGAAAGAAUGUCCUGGCUUUCUUUCGAAACAAAGGGGCUCGAUUAAAAAAUAUUUGGCUCGUUUCUUAAUUUUUUAAUUUAAACAAAACAAGCGCGCUACGCAUGUAGACUUCUUUGCAAAAACCUUCUGCACACGAGUUCAAUUCUCGUCAUCUCCACCA
RNAcentral lists this transfer-messenger RNA (403 nucleotides) under Candidatus Nomurabacteria bacterium RIFCSPHIGHO2_01_FULL_43_16. It matches the Rfam family "transfer-messenger RNA". Rfam says of the family: Bacterial tmRNA, also known as 10Sa RNA or SsrA, is named for its dual tRNA and mRNA-like properties. Its role is to liberate the mRNA from a stalled ribosome. Lineage: Bacteria; Candidatus Nomuraibacteriota. RNAcentral also lists the same sequence under 10 other names. The record is from RNAcentral.